This 29-nucleotide non-coding RNA is filed under the name Rattus norvegicus (Norway rat). The record is from RNAcentral. Lineage: Eukaryota; Metazoa; Chordata; Mammalia; Rodentia; Muridae.
UCCCCUUUUCUGCAUCCGUUGCAAUGGGA